GAUUCCCUGCUCAGCCCGUGAUGUGUCGAGUCAUUUGAGCCAACACUCUGACUGUGGGACUUCGCGUUCCCGUGCAGCGGUCAAGCCCGCAAGGGACGGCCAAAGCUAAGGACAGGAGACCCAACCUGAAGCAAUGGUUCAAUUGCUUCCGGCCACACGACUCGGCGGGGGAUCU
This 175-nucleotide non-coding RNA is filed under the name bacterium. RNAcentral's name for it is "6S RNA". It matches the Rfam family "6S / SsrS RNA". From Rfam's summary of the family: E. coli 6S RNA was the first non coding RNA to be sequenced, but its function was unknown until recently. It consists of 184 nucleotides that fold into an extended hairpin structure with a large single-stranded internal bulge. The 6S RNA specifically associates with RNA polymerase holoenzyme containing the sigma70 specificity factor. The record is from RNAcentral.